Molecule: ribosomal RNA, 445 nt
Filed under: uncultured Methanosaeta sp.
Lineage: Archaea; Methanobacteriati; Methanobacteriota; Methanomicrobia; Methanotrichales; Methanotrichaceae
Description: bacterial SSU rRNA
Rfam family: Archaeal small subunit ribosomal RNA
Source: RNAcentral
AGCCUGCGGUUCAAUUGGAUUCAACGCCGAAAUCUUACCGGACCGACAGCAAUAUGAAGGCCAGGCUGAAGACUUUGCCGGAUUAGCUGAGAGGUGGUGCAUGGCCGUCGUCAGUUCGUACUGUGAAGCAUCCUGUUAAGUCAGGCAACGAGCGAGACCCACGCCCACAGUUGCCAGCGUACUCUCUGGAGUGACGGGUACACUGUGGGACCGCCGCUGCUAAAGCGGAGGAAGGAAUGGGCAACGGUAGGUCAGUAUGCCCCGAAUAUCCCGGGCUACACGCGAGCUACAAUGGUUGGUACAAUGGGUAUCUACCCCGAAAGGGGACGGGAAUCUCCUAAAACCAAUCUUAGUUCGGAUUGAGGGCUGCAACUCGCCCUCAUGAAGCUGGAAUCCGUAGUAAUCGCGUUUCAACAGAACGCGGUGAAUACGUCCCCUGCUCCUU